Molecule: ribosomal RNA, 2931 nt
Filed under: Phycisphaerae bacterium
Lineage: Bacteria; Pseudomonadati; Planctomycetota; Phycisphaerae
Description: 23S ribosomal RNA
Rfam family: Bacterial large subunit ribosomal RNA
Source: RNAcentral
AUGUGAUCAAGCUACUAAGGGUGCACGGUGGAUGUCUAGGCGUGAUGAGGCGAUGAAGGACGUGAUAGGCUGCGAUAAGCCCAGGGGAGCUGUCAAAUGAGCUUUGAUCCUGGGAUUUCCGAAUGGGUAAACCCGUCGUCACUGUGCAAGCAGAUGGCGUCACUAUCAGCUGAAUUCAUAGGCUGGUAGAGCGAACGCAGGGAACUGAAACAUCUAAGUACCUGCAGGAAAAGAAAUCAACCGAGACUCCGUGAGUAGCGGCGAGCGAAAGCGGAUCAGCCCAAACCGGGUCUUCGGAUCCGGGGUUGUGGGCGUCGAUUAGGAGUUACAAAGGCAGCGACAGUCGAAGUGUCUGGAAAGUCACACGAUACAGGGUGAUAGUCCCGUAGACGGUAUCGUAAUGCCCUCCGUUAUAUCGACGUACCAGAGUAGCGCGGAAGCCGUGGAACUCCGCGUGAAGCUGGGGAGUCCACUCUCCAAGGCUAAGUACUACAUCACGACCGAUAGCGCAGAAGUAGGGCGACUGAAAGAUGAAAAGAACCCCCAUUAGGGGAGUGAAAAGUACCUGAAACCGUGCACUUACAAAGUUGUCGGAGCCCUAUGGCCCUUCGGGGCAACGGGUGACGGCGUACCUUUUGCAUUAUGGACCGGCGAGUUACGGUAUGCGGCGCGGCUAAGUCCCUCCGGGAUGGAGCCAUAGCGAAAGCGAGUCUGAAUAGGGCAACUAUGUCGCAUGCUGUAGACCCGAAACUGAGUGAUCUACCCAUGGCCAGGUUGAAGGGUCGGUAAAACGACCUGGAGGACCGAACCCACUAACGUUGAAAAGUUAGGGGAUGAGCUGUGGGGAGGAGUAAAAGUCUAACCAAACUCAGAGAUAUCUGGUUCUCUCCGAAAUAGCUUUAGGGCUAGCCUCGAGUAUAUUGCGCAGCGGGGGUAGAGCACUGGAUGAUCCGAGGGGCCUACCCGGCUACCUCCUUCAACCAAACUCCGAAUACCGUUGCGUGAACCUCGGGAGUCAGACUGCGAGGGAUAACCUUCGUGGUCAAAAGGGAAACAACCCAGACCGCCAGAUAAGGUCCCAAACUCAUGCUAAGUGACUAAGGAAGUCGGAUUGCACAAACAGCCAGGAUGUUGGCUUAGAAGCAGCCACCAUUUAAACAGUGCGUAAUAGCUGACUGGUCGAGCAACCCGGCGCCGAUAAUGAUCGGGACUAAGCAUGGGACCGACGCUGCGGAUUGUGCACUUGUGCACAGUGGUAGGAGAGCGUUGCUGUCGGCGCUGAAGCGAUACCGUAAGGAGUCGUGGAGCGGCAGCAAGCGAGAAUGCCGGUAUGAGUAACGAUAAAGCAGGUGAAAAUCCUGCUCGCCGCAAGCCUAAGGUUUCCUGGGGAAGGUAAAUCCGCCCAGGGUUAGUCGGGCCCUAAGUCGAGGCCGAAAGGCGUAGACGAUGGACAGCAGGUUAAUAUUCCUGCACUGUACGUGGCGGUUGAACCGUGGAUGACGCAUCGACACACCAGAUCCUACGACUAGUCGUGUAGGUUGGGGGUCCCGUAAGGGACCACCUCGAGGCCAACUUGUUGCCGAAGUCUGGAACGCCGGUGCCGAGAAAAGCUCCACGGGGACAAAGCGUGCAUCCGUACUAAAACUGACACAGGUAGGCGAGGAGAGUAUCCUCAGGCGCUCGAGAGAACCGUCUUCAAGGAACUAGGCAAAUUGGCCCCGUACCUUCGGAAUAAGGGGUCCCUAGCGGCGACUUGCAAUUAUGUAGGUCGUCGAAGGGCACAGUAAAGUGGCUCUGGCGACUGUUUAUCAAAAACACAGGACUCUGCUAACUCGCAAGAGGAUGUAUAGAGUCUGACGCCUGCCCGGUGCCGGAAGGUCAAGGAAGCAGGUCAUCCUUCGGGAGAAGCUUGCGACUAAAGCCCCGGUAAACGGCGGCCGUAACUAUGACGGUCCUAUGGUAGCGAAGUUCCUUGUCGGGUAAGUUCCGACCUGCAUGAAUGGCGUAACGACUGGAGCAGUGUCUCGAAGACGGACUCGGUGAAAUUAUGAUUGCGGUCAAGACACCGCAUACCCGCGGCAAGACAGAAAGACCCCGUGAACCUUUACUGUAGCCUGGUAUUGAUGCCUUGUGUCACAUACGUAGGAUAGGUGGGAGGCUUUGAUCCGACAGUUCCGGCUGUCGAGGAGCCAUCCUUGAAAUACCACCUUUGUGCCAUGAGUCACCUAACUCCGACCCGUGAAUCCGGGCGCAGGACAGUGCUUGGUGGGCAGUUUGACUGGGGCGGUCUCCUCCUAAAGAGUAACGGAGGAGUCCAAAGGCAUCCUCAGCACGGUUGGCAAUCGUGUGUAGAGUGUAAAGGCAUAAGGAUGCUUGACUGCGAGACCCAUAAGUCGAGCAGAUGUGAAAGCAGGGCUUAGUGACCCGGUGGUCCCGUGUGGAAGGGCCAUCGCUUAACAGAUAAAAGGUACUCCGGGGAUAACAGGCUAAUCGCCUCCGAGCGUCCAUAGCGGCGAGGCGGUUUGGCACCUCGAUGUCGGCUCAUCACAUCCUGGGGCUGUAGGCGGUCCCAAGGGUUCGGCUGUUCGCCGAUUAAAGUGGUACGCGAGCUGGGUUCAGACCGGCGUGAGCCAGGUCGGUCCUUAUCUGCCGUGGGCGUAGGAAUCUUGAAGGGAUCCUUCUUCAGUACGAGAGGACCUUGAAGGACCAACCUCUGGUGUGCCAGUUGUCCCGCUAGGGGCAGCGCUGGGUAGCUAAGUUGGGAACGGAUAACCGCUGAAGGCAUCUAAGCGGGAAGCCAACCCUAAGACUAGGAUUCCAUGUCCCUUACGGGACGAGAGCCCCCAUCCAGACUAGGUGGUUGAUAGGCCGGACGUGUAAGCGCCGAAAUGCGUUUAGCUAACCGGUACUAACGGGCGAUUGCUUGAUCAC